AACGUAGGUCACAAGCGUUGUCCGGAAUUACUGGGUGUAAAGGGAGCGCAGGCGGGAAGACAAGUUGGAAGUGAAAUCCAUGGGCUCAACCCAUGAACUGCUUUCAAAACUGUUUUUCUUGAGUAGUGCAGAGGUAGGCGGAAUUCCCGGUGUAGCGGUGGAAUGCGUAGAUAUCGGGAGGAACACCAGUGGCGAAGGCGGCCUACUGGGCACCAACUGACGCUGAGGCUCGAAAGUGUGGGUAGCAAACAGGAUUAGAAACCCCAUAGGCGGCUGACUGUCU
This 283-nucleotide ribosomal RNA is filed under the name Faecalibacterium prausnitzii. RNAcentral describes it as "partial 16S ribosomal RNA". It matches the Rfam family "Bacterial small subunit ribosomal RNA", at positions 524 to 805 of the family's 1533-position model. The record is from RNAcentral. Lineage: Bacteria; Bacillati; Bacillota; Clostridia; Eubacteriales; Oscillospiraceae.